GAUGAACGCUGGCGGCGUGCCUAAUACAUGCCAGUCGAGCGAACGGACGAGAAGCUUGCUUCUCUGAUGUUAGCGGCGGACGGGUGAGUAACACGUGGAUAACCUACCUAUAAGACUGGGAUAACUUCGGGAAACCGGAGCUAAUACCGGAUAAUAUUUUGAACCGCAUGGUUCAAAAGUGAAAGACGGUCUUGCUGUCACUUAUAGAUGGAUCCGCGCUGCAUUAGCUAGUUGGUAAGGUAACGGCUUACCAAGGCAACGAUGCAUAGCCGACCUGAGAGGGUGAUCGGCCACACUGGAACUGAGACACGGUCCAGACUCCUACGGGAGGCAGCAGUAGGGAAUCUUCCGCAAUGGGCGAAAGCCUGACGGAGCAACGCCGCGUGAGUGAUGAGGGUCUUCGGAUCGUAGAACUCUGUUAUUAGGGAAGAACAUAUGUGUAAGUAACUGUGCACAUCUUGACGGUACCUAAUCAGAAAGCCACGGCUAACUACGUG
Molecule: ribosomal RNA, 497 nt
Filed under: uncultured bacterium
Lineage: Bacteria
Description: partial 16S ribosomal RNA
Rfam family: Bacterial small subunit ribosomal RNA
Source: RNAcentral